UCGUAAACUCUCGGGUUUGAGUCU
RNAcentral lists this non-coding RNA (24 nucleotides) under Arabidopsis thaliana (thale cress). Lineage: Eukaryota; Viridiplantae; Streptophyta; Magnoliopsida; Brassicales; Brassicaceae. The record is from RNAcentral.